RNAcentral lists this unclassified non-coding RNA (164 nucleotides) under uncultured Beauveria. RNAcentral describes it as "sequence contains ITS2". The record is from RNAcentral. Lineage: Eukaryota; Fungi; Ascomycota; Sordariomycetes; Hypocreales; Cordycipitaceae.
CAACCCUCAAGCCCCCAGGGCUUGGUGUUGGGGACCGGCCGCCCGCCGCGGCGGCCGCCCCCGAAAUGCAGUGGCGGCCUCGCCGCAGCCUCCCCUGCGUAGUAGCACAACCUCGCACCGGAGCGCGGAGACGGUCACGCCGUGAAACGCCCAACUCUCAAGAG